RNAcentral lists this unclassified non-coding RNA (387 nucleotides) under soil metagenome. Its description in RNAcentral is "partial contains 5.8S ribosomal RNA, internal transcribed spacer 2, and large subunit ribosomal RNA". The stretch from base 1 to 120 matches the Rfam family "5.8S ribosomal RNA", at positions 35 to 154 of the family's 154-position model. The record is from RNAcentral.
GAUGAAGAACGUAGCGAAAUGCGAUAAGUAAUGUGAAUUGCAGAAUUCAGUGAAUCAUCGAAUCUUUGAACGCACCUUGCGCUCCUUGGUAUUCCGAGGAGCAUGCCUGUUUGAGUGUCAUGAAAUUCUCAAACCCAUAAGUCUUUGCGGGCUUACGGGCUUUGGACUUGGAGGCUUGUCGGCGACCGUAAAGUCACAUUGACUCCUCUCAAAUGCAUUAGCUUGAUUCCUUGCGGAUCGGCUCUCGGUGUGAUAAUUGUCUACGCCGUGACCGUGAAGCGUUUUGGCAAGCUUCUAACCGUCUCUAACGAGACAGCUUACUUUGACCUCUGACCUCAAAUCAGGUAGGACUACCCGCUGAACUUAAGCAUAUCAAUAAGCGGAGGA